This 71-nucleotide transfer RNA is filed under the name Adhaeribacter swui. RNAcentral describes it as "tRNA-Gly". It matches the Rfam family "tRNA". From Rfam's summary of the family: Transfer RNA (tRNA) molecules are approximately 80 nucleotides in length. Their secondary structure includes four short double-helical elements and three loops (D, anti-codon, and T loops). Further hydrogen bonds mediate the characteristic L-shaped molecular structure. tRNAs have two regions of fundamental functional importance: the anti-codon, which is responsible for specific mRNA codon recognition, and the 3' end, to which the tRNAs corresponding amino acid is attached (by aminoacyl-tRNA synthetases). tRNAs cope with the degeneracy of the genetic code in two manners: having more than one tRNA (with a specific anti-codon) for a particular amino acid; and 'wobble' base-pairing, i.e. permitting non-standard base-pairing at the 3rd anti-codon position. Lineage: Bacteria; Pseudomonadati; Bacteroidota; Cytophagia; Cytophagales; Hymenobacteraceae. The record is from RNAcentral.
GUCGCAGUGGCUGAGUGGCUAGGCAAAGGUUCGCCAAAUCUUAUACAACGGUUCGAGUCCGUUCCGCGACG